RNAcentral lists this ribosomal RNA (474 nucleotides) under uncultured bacterium. Its description in RNAcentral is "bacterial SSU rRNA". It matches the Rfam family "Bacterial small subunit ribosomal RNA", at positions 328 to 794 of the family's 1533-position model. The record is from RNAcentral.
GCUCCAGACUCCUACGGGAGGCAGCAGUAGGGAAUCUUCGGCAAUGGGCGAAAGCCUGACCGAGCAACGCCGCGUGAAUGAAGAAGGCCUUCGGGUUGUAAAAUUCUGUUAUAAGGGAAGAAAGGUGAUAGGAGGAAAUGACUAUCAAUUGACGGUACCUUAUGAGAAAGCCACGGCUAACUACGUGCCAGCAGCCGCGGUAAUACGUAGGUGGCAAGCGUUAUCCGGAUUUACUGGGUGUAAAGGGCGUGUAGGCGGGAAAGCAAGUCAGAUGUGAAAACCAUGGGCUCAACCUGUGGCCUGCAUUUGAAACUGUUUUUCUUGAGUACUGGAGAGGCAGACGGAAUUCCUAGUGUAGCGGUGAAAUGCGUAGAUAUUAGGAGGAACACCAGUGGCGAAGGCGGGCUGCUGGACAGCAACUGACGCUGAGGCGCGAAAGCGUGGGGAGCAAACAGGAUUAGAUACCCCGGUAGC